This 465-nucleotide ribosomal RNA is filed under the name uncultured bacterium. Its description in RNAcentral is "partial 16S ribosomal RNA". It matches the Rfam family "Bacterial small subunit ribosomal RNA", at positions 339 to 795 of the family's 1533-position model. The record is from RNAcentral.
CUACGGGUGGCUGCAGCUAAGAAUCUUCCGCAAUGGACGAAAGUCUGACGGAGCGACGCCGCGUGGAUGAUGAAUGCCGAGAGGUUGUAAAGUCCUUUUAUCAGAGAAGAAUAAUCAUGUCAGGGAAUGGGCGUGAGAUGACGUUAUCUGAUGAAUAAGCUCCGGCCAAUUACGUGCCAGCAGCCGCGGUAACACGUAAGGAGCGAGCGUGUGUUCGGAAUUAUUGGGCGUAAAGGGCAAGCAGGCGGCCUUGUAAGUCUGGCGUGAAAUACCGUGGCUCAACCACGGAAACGCGCUGGAAACUGAGAGGCUAGAAUCCGUGAGGGGUAUGUGGAAUUCCUGGUGUAGGGGUGAAAUCUGUUGAUAUCAGGAAGAACACCUGAGGCGAAGGCGACAUACUGGCACUGGAUUGACGCUGAGAUGCGAAAGCGUAGGGAGCGAACAGGAUUAGAUACCCCCGUAGUC